This 30217-nucleotide long non-coding RNA is filed under the name Selaginella moellendorffii. RNAcentral describes it as "long non-coding RNA (SMOE_LNC001529)". The record is from RNAcentral. Lineage: Eukaryota; Viridiplantae; Streptophyta; Lycopodiopsida; Selaginellales; Selaginellaceae.
UAAUCUUCUCCUUCGAAACUCUCGAAUCAAAAAGAAAGAAAGAACACUCUCUACUUUUAUGGUCCUAGUGGUGUAUCCACCGCAUCAAAGCACCAAAACUGUGGAUCCUGGGAAGAAACUUUCACCUGUUCCAGAGAUUUAAUACUCUUCCAGCCGAGUAAUCGUCUUCCAGCUCAAGAGAAAUCUCUUGACAGGUGCUGCAAGAAGACAAAAGAAAACGAUGUGUCACACUAUAGUCUUUGCAGGCCGUCACAAUCUAUGCUAGCUCCACGCUGUUCCGAAGUUUUCCAAGAGCUCGAGAUAUUUGGCUGGGCGAUAAGGAAAUCUUCGGGGAGUUAAGUUUGCGUUGCUUUGCUGGUUGGAUUUGGUCGCUUCGAUUUUGGGAAUUCACAGAAGGAAAACAUUACAUAACUUAAAGUAAGCAAAAACUCAAAGAUGUUUCCAGUGAAGAACUUCCUUGUCGCAAGUUCUCUCAUCCGUCGUGGACGCUUCCAUUUGCGUGUGUAGCUCUCUCCAUAGAAAGUUCAGCGGUACGGCAGAGCACUGAAAUUAUGUUAAGUGACGGCGUCUCUCUUGUUUUCUGCUGCACUGUAGCUUUGCAGCUGCUGAUCCAUUCCCUGCAUAUGUCCUGGCCAGUCUUGAUAAUCCUCCGUGACUUGUUGAAAACCAAACAUGCGUUCUUCUUCGAGUGACAGUAAACCAGGAUUUGGCUGCUCGACUUCUAAUUCUUCGUCUUGCUCGACAAUCCUUACAUCAUCCAUGGCGGCGAUGCAAUGAAAAGAAGGACCAUCUCUUCCGAGCUCUAGAUCAAAGUAGCCAUGAGAUUCCAGAAAUCAUCACCUAGGAAACAAAGCCACGUUGAGUUCAUUGUGGAGAUUCAAAUACAAAAACCUGGACUUACUUCACAGCAAUAUGCUUGAAGCCGUACUUAAUCCAAAUAACAUCAAACUAUUCCCAGAGUGCUGCUUGCCUGUAGAGACGUUCACAAUGCUGUGAGCUUCUUAAUUUCUAUUCAAGUUGUUAAAAUAUUUAAUAUCCUAAGCAUAAUAUAGUUGUUAUAAUUUUUUUUAUAAUAAAAGAAAAACCUACAUUUAAUUAACGUUAUCAACUCAGUAAAGGAGAAGGGAUUUAGUGUUUGGUCAACUCUACUCUCUCCCCUCUAAAGUCAGAAGUUUUGGCUAUGGCGCUGGAGUCUUCCAAGAUCACAGUGACCAACAUUUGCUUGGUUUCUCCAAGUUACAGCCCGGAGAAUGUCGAUCUCUUGGAGAGGAAGAAGCAAAUGCGUCUCUGUGCUGCAUCUCAUAUGAUUUGGUUCGUGCCUUACAGGACUCGCCUUCUCUUCUUCCGAAAGCCUCCUCCCCAUCUCUCCUUCGAGGCCAUUGUAGCAAAUCUCAAGAGUUCUCUUGCCAAGGCGCUGGUGGAGUUUUAUCCCCUGGCAGGGAGAUUGCUAGUGAGUGACAGCGAGAAUGGACUGCGGAUGGAUGUGGUUUGCAAUGACAAAGGCGUGCUCUUCAUCGAAGCCAGUGCUACUGGAGUUACUGUUGAGGAGCUCGCAAAGGAUGAAGUGAGUGGUCAUUUCGAGGGGAUUCCAGCAAAACUAGUGGAAGAUCUGGCACAAUGUGGAGACUACGAUAUAUCGACAAUUCCAUGGUCCUUCGAUGCUCCUCUGUUCAUCAUCCAGGUACUUCAAUAUAUAUUCGCAUUGAUAAUCAAGUCGAAUCGAAUGUAGGUGACAGAGCUUUCUUGUGGAGGCAUUUGCAUCUCCGUCAAGUUCAAUCACCAGCUUUUAGAUGGAGCUGGGACCUGGAACUUUGUCAAGUCAUUGGCCGAGGUCUGUUGUGGUAAAUCUAUGUCACUCAAGCCCGUGGUCGUGGAAACUCCACCAUGCAUUGCAGUCUCGGACGAUCAUCCCACAGAUUUUGAGCUUCCAGCAGGGUUUGGAAGGGCCUGCAACGCGGAUUUACUGAAAUUAAGCACCAAGUCAACAUCGCAGUCCGCGGAGUAUGACAUGAAGUGCUUUGCAUUCAAGAAGGAGAUGAUCCAAAAGAUGAAGCUCGAGAAUCCAGGGUUCAGCUCGUUCCAGCUUCUCACGAGUUUCAUAUGGUCCAGAGUUAACGCUGCGAGAGAUCUCAAGGAUGACGAAACCACUACUCUUGUGUUUGCAGCAAACUGUAGAGGACGGAUCAAGACUGUGCCGAAGGGAUUCGUAGGAAUGGCCGUGGUGUAUGAUCACGUUUCCACCAAAGUCUCGAGCCUACGAGCUCAGGGAAAUGAGCUGAGAAAUGGGGCGGAUCUUCUCAAGAAAAAGAUCGGUGAUUUGCUCACGGAGGAAGGCGCGGGUCUCUACUCAAAGGCUGUGAGCAGUGGCGACAGGGGCUUCACAGCUUUUCCUCAAUCUAAGAUGGAAACAGCAUUGAUCGUUGGAAGUUCGUUCUACUUCCCGGUUUUCGAGGACUUUGGAUUUGGAAAGCCGGUUGGAAUGACGCUGGUUCGUCCUUCUGAUGAUAGCAAGCUAUACUAUUUCCCAGGGAAGGAGGAAGGUGAUGUGGUAGCUUAUAUUGGGCUCACAAGUCACGCGAUGAGAAAGCUUAGUUUUCCACAGGUUUGAAACAAUAUAAAGUUGUCUCUUUGCCCUUCACCGCGGGACGGCAUGGAGAUCGAGGCGAGGAUCUUCGAGACAGAUGUUUCUGAUGGUACUGUGAUUGUUGACAUGCACGGAAGCUCCAGAUAAUGGGUCGGGCCAUCUUGGCUUUUGGCUGGAUCAAGGAAUGUUGUCUCCUUGACUGCUAUGUUCUCAGAAUUUGCCGGAAUGGGCAUUACAGAGACGCUCUCUCGAGCUCUGGAGCUCCUCCAUGGAUUUGGAGGGAGUCAAGUCAAAUGGCUUGCCAUUUUUUUUUUUCCUGGAAGCCUGCGCCGGUCCCGGGAAUAGAAUCUGCUGUAAAAUUUUCCACUCCCGAAAUCGAGGGAAUGGAGCUUAUGCGCUGGGGAAAUGCGGUCACGUUGCGCGAUGAUGGCGGCGUAUGCCCAAAACGGACAGCACAGGGAAGCGCUCCGAGUCUUUAGCGAGCUCGACACGAUGCUGGAUCGCGAGCGUCUUGGAGGCGUCCUCAAGUUUGGCCAGGCUAGAAUCUCGGAUCCUUGCUAGUGGAAUUCGCGUGAGCGUGAUCGUGGUCGUCAUCACUUACAGAAAGUGUGGAGCUCUCAGCCUCGCGAGAUCCACGUUCAAUGGCCUGUGCUGGAACACGAUGAUCUCCGCCAACUUGCAGCACAGCAACGCCAGGAAGUGCUCAAGCUCUUCAACGAGCUCAAACAAGCCGGGACUUUGAGCGAGCACUUGGGGGGCUGCAUGAUCGAUCUGCUGGGACGAGCUGGGGGAUUUGAAGAGGCUGAGAGAGUGGUUGCUCCAUGAAACGCAAUGUCCCCUCCUGAUCAUGAAUGUCGUCUCUCAAUCACCAAGUCCUGGAUAAAACCAGGGCAUGGCAUUUCGUAGUUCGAUAUAAGCUGCGGCAAAUCCCCGUCACUUGUGGUCGUGGAAACUCCCCUGGACAACGAGCAGAGCUGGAGAUUUAGCUCCCGCCGAUUUUUCAUGCGGUGGAAGAUUAGAACUUGUUCACACUAUCAACGCUAUGAAAAGCUUCUCGUUUGCUUCUCGUUUGCCCAGGAGUGAGAUUCCACGGCAAAGAGAUGGAAGACCCCGUUCUUCUCAGUCAAGUGCUGUGAAAGCUCUCCAACGCUGGAAACUAUGACUCUCAGUUGGAGAUGUACGCCUUCUCAUGACAUGAGAAGGAGUUGCCACCUCAUAGAUCCACGUUGGCUGGAGUUGAGUAGAUCAGAGCCACAUUGUCCACACGACGCUUCCGCUGUGUUUUGACACUCUCGAGACUGUCAUGUUCAGGACGGCCUCCAUGGACAUGCAAGCCACCUCUAUAUGAGCCAUGACUACAGCGCUCUAGGCUCGCCUCUGUCCCACCGUCAUAGGUCUUCUAGAUCCUUUUGGGUAUGUCCUUGAGAGCGUUCCUGGCUGAAAGAUCCAGCUCUCUCUCCUCGCCACCCAGGCACUGGCGAUAGCUUCGAAGGUAGUAAACGCAGCUGCGAUUGCAAGAGCAGUCAUCGUCACCGAAGCAGUAGUGGACACUCUCCUCUCGAGGUGCUGUUUGGACUGAGAAAAUGAGGAAGAUCGCCAUCGAGAUCUUCAUCUUCGCCAUUCCUGGUGGAAACCUUAAGCGAGAGCACGAAACUCUCGAAGUUCACACUGCCUGGUCCUUAGAAACUCUCGAAUCGAAAUGAAAGAACAAACACUCUUUACUUUUAUGGUGUAUCCACCACAUCCAAGCACCGAGAACCUUUCACGUGUCCCAGCGAUUCACUACUCUUCCAGCAGUGUAAUCGUCUUCCAGCUCAAGCAGACACAUGACAGGUGCUGCAAGAAGACAAAAGAAAACGAUGUGUCACACUAUAAUCUUCUAUGCUAGCUCCACGUUGUUCCUGAGUGCCUCCGAUAAGUUUGCGAUGGAUAGAGCACCGUAGCUCUGCUGCUGCUAAUCCAUUCCCUGCAUAUUUGGAGGCAGGUUCGAAAAGAGAAGAUAAGCUGAAGCUUGAGAUUGCUAACCACUAGCCCCACUUAUUGCAUUAAGUUGCAAUAAAAUGGCUUCAAUUGAUAUUUGUAACUAAAUUUAAGACACAAUAGUUUUAUAUUAGAAAAUUAUAAAUUCUUAUUUACGUAAUUUAUAAUAGUUAUAAACAAAAAUUUUUUUUUGUAGUUUUGACCAGAAAAUAUGUAAUUGUUAUGUUUAGUUCUUAUUUAUGACUCCAAAAAACAAAGUUAUAAACAUAGUGGUAAAGAUGGGAAUUUAAGUCAUUAUUUAUGAUGAUAUUUAAAAAUAAAUAGUUUUCUAUUCUAAUUUAUUGCCAAUCUUUGAUUUUGGAGUUACAUUUUUUCCUAUUUUAGAAGCUUAAAGGUGCUCUUGAUAAAUAUUAUCUAGGUUGUGGUGAAUGAAUGUAAGUAUAUUUUAUUUAUGUCAGUUUGAUUACUUUAUAUUAUUUGUUGUUUCAUAUUUGCUAGCUUUUCUUAUAAGAGAAUGCAUACAAUCACCCACAGCAAUGGAAUUUACGAGGAACUCAUCAAUAUUCAGGAUUUCUUUUAUAAAACGUUCAUGGUAAUGGAUUUAAAUGAAAAUUUUCCUUUAGUUUAUCUCAUUUGUCAUUACUCUAUGUUAUAAAAAAUGGAUACAACCACCUUCUUUAUUUUCUUAAGCCAAGCCCAAUCUUUAACCCAUUUAGGGUAUAAUACUCUUAAUGCUUUUCGCAACUCUAAGUUUUCCUCCAAGAAAAAUUUAUAAGAUAGGUAAAACCCUAAAAUCACCAGGGAGAAAACUAAAGGCGUAGGAUAUACUCUACAUUUAAUUAAUGUUUUGGUUACCAACUUUGUCCUUCCAUUCGUCUUGAAAAUACUUGAUAAAAGGUACUUCAUUUUGAAAAUCCACCUCAAAAUGUUCAAUAAGUUGUUUAAUCUCAACUCACAUAAUAUUAUCAUCAUGAAAAGUUGCAUGAAUUGAAUGAUACAUAAUAUUUCCAAAACGUUUCCAUAUUUCCAUCUUAAUAUCCCAAGAUUUCACUUUACGAAUAAUAUAUUUGAGCCAAUUCCUUCUUACAUGCCAAAUACAUAAUAGAAUUUGACAAUCAAAUGUAGCUCUAUAUAGAGGAAAACAAUUAAAUUAUUUCAUAUCAAAUUAAUUACCUUAUAACAUUAAUCUUUGUUUCAGCAUCAUCAAUCAUUAUUGCCCGUAGUUUCCAAUUUGGCAUAUGUUCUCAAACUUAUUUUUUAAAAGUUAUUAUCCAAUUCUUCAUAUGUUCUCCUUUCUCACUAGAAGUUAAAACCCAUGCAAUUGGAAUACCAUUUCUAUGAUAAUCAAAAGUAAGCAUGGUGUAUAAUGGGAACUAUAAAUUAUUAAGUAUUAAUCACUUAAAACUGAAUGAAAAUUUUACCUUGUAGCGAUUAAUUCCAAAAGUUGCGUCAAGACUCAAUAGAUUAUUAUUUGAAAAGUCCACCAUCUUUUGUAGUUGCCAAGUUGUUUGGAUCCCAAUAAUAAAACAAUCUUUACCUCGAUCACCUCUUGAUAGAAAAAUACUUUCUCAGGAUUUGUGUUCUUCCAAAUAUGUACACUCUAUGCGUCAUUCUUAUGUAAUCGAUAAGUUGAAAGUGAAUACUUCCUAUGCAAAUUGUUGAUAUCCUGCAUAGUUAGAAAAUCAUCUCGAUGAGAAGGUUCACCAGCUAACUUGUUCCUUUCCACAAUCUGUAUAUGCUCAUUAUAAAUCUGAUUUGCUAUGAAAUCCUGCUAAAUCAUAUGAAUCACCCAAUGUCAAAUAUCUGUUGAAAGCUUUUGAGGAAAUAAUGACUUUCCUCCAGUCAGAUCAAGUUGACCAUGACAAGGAACCCCAUUUUUAUCACAAUGCUCUCUAUGAUAAUAUAUAAUCUGCACAUAAUCAAGCCAUUUGUAAAACUGUUUGACCAAAAAAUUGCAAAGGCAGCCCCGCUUAUUAGAACUUUGACUUGGUCUACUUCCAAGUCCUGACUUUGGUGUAGAUUUAGCAAUCAUAAUAGAGGAUGUUUCACGAGCAUCUUGUUUUCCAUAUUCACACCAAUACCUGUAUCAAGAAGUUAGUAAUUAUAUUUUGUUAAAAAAAUAUACCUAAUUAAUGAUAAAAAGUUUGUAUUUUUGGGUUAUUUCAAAUCUUUAGGAUCACGAUUUUUGUUAGAAAAUUGCCAAAAAUCCAUUCCAUCACCCCUUCUCCUCUCACCAUCGAGAAACUUGUUCACAUCCUUUUGUAAUAUAUACACUAUAGUUUCAUUUGAUUUAGACAAAUUCCAAUCUAAAUCAUCUGCACAAAAAUAAUCCCUUUCAUGGAAUUUUUGCACCUCAUCAAGCCAUGGGGGAUUUUAAAUGAUUUUCUUGAAUCAAUAUGAAAUUAAAUUGAUUGCUUACCUUUGGAAAUUGCUGUGCUGCUGCCAUGCUUGAUCAUAAAAGAAACAGAAACGUUUUUAGGUCAAUUAUGGAGCAACCAUCCGGCGUGAAUGGGUGGACCAGGGCGCGCUAAUUGAAAUUUGGCUUGGGGCUGUGGCCACGUGGAAGUAAUUUUAGGGCGCACGCUGGGCGCGGGCGGACGUGCGGGGGCGGGUGGGAGUGCGGGCGGGAGCCGUGAGGGCGAGCGGGCGGGCGGGAGCCGCGGGCGGGAGUGUGCAGCGGCGACGGACGGGAGAGGGAGUGCGCUGGAGAUAAAACAAAAAAGAGGGCUGAUGCCACGUCAUCGCCAGGUAAGCGGAGAGAGAGAGAGUGAAUCAGGAUGGUGUUUAACGGGAGGCUGAUUUGGUUCGUGCCUUACAGGACUCGCCUUCUCUUCUUCCGAAAGCCUCCUCCCCAUCUCUCCUUCGAGGCCAUUGUAGCAAAUCUCAAGAGUUCUCUUGCCAAGGCGCUGGUGGAGUUUUAUCCCCUGGCAGGGAGAUUGCUUGUGAGUGACAGCGAGAAUGGACUGCGGAUGGAUGUGGUUUGCAAUGACAAAGGCGUGCUCUUCAUUGAAGCUAGUGCUACUGGAGUUACUGUUGAGGAGCUCGCAAAGGAUGAAGUGAGUGGUCAUUUCGAGGGGAUUCCAGCAAAACUAGUGGAAGAUCUGGCACAAUGUGGAGACUACGAUAUAUCGACAAUUCCAUGGUCCUUCGAUGCUCCUCUGUUCAUCAUCCAGGUACUUCAAUAUAUAUCCGCAUUGAUAAUCAAGUCGAAUCGUAUGUAGGUGACAGAGCUUUCUUGUGGAGGCAUUUGCAUCUCCGUCAAGUUCAAUCACCAGCUUUUAGAUGGAGCUGGGACCUGGAACUUUGUCAAGUCAUGGGCCGAGGUCUGUUGUGGUAAAUCUAUGUCACUCAAGCCCGUGGUCGUGGAAACUCCACCAUGCAUUGCAGUCUCGGACGAUCAUCCCACAGAUUUUGAGCUUCCAGCAGGGUUUGGAAGGGCCUGCAACGCGGAUUUACUGAAAUUAAGCACCAAGUCAACAUCGCAGUCCGCGGAGUAUGACAUGAAGUGCUUUGCAUUCAAGAAGGAGAUGAUCCAAAAGAUGAAGCUCGAGAAUCCAGGGUUCAGCUCGUUCCAGCUUCUCACGAGUUUCAUAUGGUCCAGAGUUAACGCUGCGAGAGAUCUCAAGGAUGACGAAACCACUACUCUUGUGUUUGCAGCAAACUGUAGAGGACGGAUCAAGACUGUGCCGAAGGGAUUCGUAGGAAUGGCCGUGGUGUAUGAUCACGUUUCCACCAAAGUCUCGAGCCUACGAGCUCAGGGAAAUGAGCUGAGAAAUGGGGCGGAUCUUCUCAAGAAAAAGAUCGGUGAUUUGCUCACGGAGGAAGGCGCGGGUCUCUACUCAAAGGCUGUGAGCAGUGGCGACAGGGGCUUCACAGCUUUUCCUCAAUCUAAGAUGGAAACAGCAUUGAUCGUUGGAAGUUCGUUCUACUUCCCGGUUUUCGAGGACUUUGGAUUUGGAAAGCCGGUUGGAAUGACGCUGGUUCGUCCUUCUGAUGAUAGCAAGCUAUACUAUUUCCCAGGGAAGGAGGAAGGUGAUGUGGUAGCUUAUAUUGGGCUCACAAGUCACGCGAUGAGAAAGCUUAGUUUUCCACAGGUUUGAAACAAUAUAAAGUUGUCUCUUUGCCCUUCACCGCGGGACGGCAUGGAGAUCGAGGCGAGGAUCUUCGAGACAGAUGUUUCUGAUGGUACUGUGAUUGUUGACAUGCACGGGAAGCUCCAGAUAAUGGGUCGGGCCAUCUCGGCUUUUGGCUGGAUCAAGGAAUGUUGUCUCCUUGACUGCUAUGUUCUCAGAAUUUGCCCGGAAUGGGCAUUACAGAGACGCUCUCUCGAGCUCUCGAGCUCCUCCAUGGAUUUGGAGGGAGUCAAGCCAAAUGGCUUGCCAUUUUUUUUUUCCCUGGAAGCCUGCGCCGGUCCCGGGAAUAGAAUCUGCUGUAAAAUUUUCCACUCCCGAAAUCGAGGGAAUGGAGCUUAUGCGCUGGGGAAAUGCGGUCACGUUGCGCGAUGAUGGCGGCGUAUGCCCAAAACGGACAGCACAGGGAAGCGCUCCGAGUCUUUAGCGAGCUCGACACGAUGCUGGAUCGCGAGCGUCUUGAAGGCGUCCUCAAGUUUGGCCAUGGCUAGAAUCUCGGAUCCUUGCUAGUGGAAUUCGCGUGAGCGUGAUCGUGGUCGUCAUCACUUACAGAAAGUGUGGAGCUCUCAGCCUCGCGAGAUCCACGUUCAAUGGCCUGUGCUGGAACACGAUGAUCUCCGCCAACUUGCAGCACAGCAACGCCAGGAAGUGCUCAAGCUCUUCAACGAGCUCAAACAAGCCGGGACUUUGAGCGAGCACUUGGGGGGCUGCAUGAUCGAUCUGCUGGGACGAGCUGGGGGAUUUGAAGAGGCUGAGAGAGUGGUUGCUCCAUGAAACGCAAUGUCCCCUCCUGAUCAUGAAUGUCGUCUCUCAAUCACCAAGUCCUGGAUAAAACCAGGGCAUGGCAUUUCGUAGUUCGAUAUAAGCUGCGGCAAAUCCCCGUCACUUGUGGUCGUGGAAACUCCCCUGGACAACGAGCAGAGCUGGAGAUUUAGCUCCCGCCGAUUUUUCAUGCGGUGGAAGAUUAGAACUUGUUCACACUAUCAACGCCAUGAAAAGCUUCUCGUUUGCUUCUCGUUUGCCCAGGAGUGAGAUUCCACGGCAAAGAGAUGGAAGACCCCGUUCUUCUCAGUCAAGUGCUGUGAAAGCUCUCCAACGCUGGAAACUAUGACUCUCAGUUGGAGAUGUACGCUUUCUCAUGACAUGAGAAGGAGUUGCCACCUCAUAGAUCCACGUUGGCUGGAGUUGAGUAGAUCAGAGCCACAUUGUCCACGCUAUGUUUUGACACUCUUGAGACUGUCAUGUUCAGGACGGCCUCCAUGGACAUGCAAGCCACCUCUAUAUGAGCCAUGACUACAGCGCUCUAGGCUCGCCUCUGUCCCACCGUCAUAGAUUUUGUUUUAGUGCAGACAGGGUGUGACUGGCGGAGUCUUCUAGAUCCUUUUGGGUAUGUCCUUGAGAGCGUUCCUGGCUGAAAGAUCCAGCUCUCUCUCCUCGCCACCAAGGCACUGGCGAUAGCUUCGAAGGUAGUAAACGCAGCUGCGAUUGCAAGAGCAUGUAGGAAUAAUGAUGAACACGACAAGUAAAACGAUUCAUAUCAGAAGCAGUCCGAAUUGUGAUCAGAUCUCUGGUGAUUUCCGAUUUGAUUGAAGUUGUAUAUAUAUACAGCCAUAUAUGAAUCAAUGGGUGGGUUGAAGUGAAAUCCAUUCUUCUUGCUCCGCUUUUCUUUCAUGGUAUCAGAGCUCAGUUUCUGAACUCUUUCUUCUCCUUUCUUUGUGCCUCACAUCAUGAGCUGCAGCAAAGUUGGAUUGAUCUUGCUUCAGGGAGUCACUGCCUUUGAUGGGAGGAGAGGGUUCAACACCUGGUCUGAGAAAAUGAUGCGCAUGCUGCAGAUGGAAGAACUCUGGGAAAUCGUUUCACCACCGACAAUCGCUGCAGAUGCUCGUAUGCGGCAAGCCCCUGCUGCAUUGGGAGCUUCAACUUCGGUGGAAGGAGAAGUCGUGGAUGAAGAGGCAAUUCGUGCCUUUGUUGCAGCAGCUUGACAACAGCUUGAUCCAGGGGAACAAGCUGCGCUGGAGAAGAAGGAAUCUCGAGCAAAAGGAUUGAUUCUUUCUAAGCUUGCAGAUGCCCUUAUGAUGCGUUUGCGUCAUAAGAGUGCUUGUGAGAUCUGGGCUCAUCUCCACAACAAGUAUGCUGUUCUUUCCCUCUCCAAGAUCAGCACGGUCGAGACUUGCAUUCAUGAGACCCAUUUUCAUCCAGGCGAGAACUUUGAAGAGUUCCUCGCCAAGAUGCAAGAUUUGUGGAUGGAGCUUGAAGGCAGUCCAGCGGCGUUCAACGAAAGCAAGAAAGUUCUGGCACUUUGCGAGGCCAUGCAAGAUUCUUCUUUUAGUUCUUGCAUCCCACACAUAUCAUCGAGGCAGAGGAGGCCGCGGAAGAGGAGGACAAGGCAGAGGUUGCGGGUUUAGGGGAAAUCCGCAGCAGCAGCAGAAUUCAGGGAAUUCUGGUAAAGAAGCAGUAGUUCGGGAUUGUUUUGUGGGCAAGAACAAACAGGAAUGCUGGACCUGUGGGAUGCCAGGACACUACUCCAAGGAUUGCCUAGUUGCAGCUUGGCUGCAACGCAUGAACAUAGGGCUCGCAGCAAAUGCUCAGGAAGGGGAAACACGGGAACUUGCGGCAUCAUCUGAGGUAGCAGUUCCAAACGUUUUUGAAAAACUGACCAUUGAUUCAGGUUCAGAGAGACACCUGAUGCAAAGCGGGUCGAACUUUGUGCAGUUGCGUACUGCAAAAGGGAAGUGCAUUCGUGUGGGAGAUAGAAGCAUUUUACCUAUUUGCACAACUGGGGAUGUGCGAGUUCCACUGGGAAGAAAGUCUUUGCUCUUGAAGAAUGCAUAGUAUGUUCCAAAGAUAGUGAAGAAUCUGAUUUUUGUAGCCAAGCUUACGGAUGAAGGUCUGGAUGUGAAUUUCUCCAAACAUCAAUGUCAAGUUCUUGCAAAUGGUCGUCCAUUACUGCAUUUUCCCAUAUGUGGUAACUUGUUUGAGAAGGAGAUAGCUUUUGGAGAAAAAUCAAACGCGAGAUAUGCAUGACUGCAGAUAGUUCUCUCUGGCAUUCUCGAUUUGCACAUGCCAAUCCCCCUCUCAUCAGGUGUAUGCAGAAGCAUGAGCUUGUGGAUGGCUUCAACGACCACGUUCUUCAAAGUUCAGCAAAAUGUCACACUUGCAUUCUUGGCAAGCAAACCCGUUGUACUUUCAAACCUGCUGUGAUCAGAAGCACUCGUCCCUUGCAGCUCAUUCACUCAGAUGUUUGUGGACCCAUGCAACUGUUUGCUCAGAAUGGCACGAAGUAUUUUGUGACGCUUACAGAUGAUUUCUCAAGACACACGGACGUCUUCUUCUUCAUCACAAAGAUGAAGUCUUCAGCAAAUUCAAGCAAUUCGUAGCAGAAGCCGAAGUGAAAACUGGUCAGAGGGUUGGCUGUUUACAUAUUGAUUCAGGAGGUGAAUAUGUCAAGCAGUUCUGUGCUAAAUGAGGAAUUCUUCAUCAGUGCUCUUGCUCUUAUACCCCUCAACAGAAUGGAGUCUCUGAGUGCAAGAACAAGACAAUCAUGAAUGCAAUUCAGUGCUUCCUUCAAGAAUCAGGACUACCAAAAUUCCUCUGGGCUGAAGCAGUCGGAUUAGCUGUGCACAUUCAAAACCUUCUCCCUCAUUCUCGCAAUCCCAACAAGAUCCCAGAAGAGCUUUGGACUAGUCAAAGACAAUCAGUGGUGCAUCUCAAGUGUUUUGGUUGUUUAAGCUUUGCAAAAAGGGUGGAUGAGCAUCUCGAUAAGUUGGAGAGCAGAAGCAAGCUGGCCUUUCUUGUUGGAUACGAUUCCAAUUCAAAAGGAUAUUGCAUAUACUAGCCUGGUAAUCAUCAAAUUUCUGUAAGCAUGUAAGCUCCUAAGUUUAGACUUCUUGGGAGGUCACCCAGCCCAAUACUAUUCAAACCCAAAGACGCUUAACCCCAAAUAUCCCAAGACCCUUAACCGAUUGGAAAAGGGGGUGCACUCUUAUUCAUGAGCCCUUUCCCUCUAUAUUUGAACCCUUAUGGAUCGUCUCUCGAGUUGUUCCCUUUGGUUGUUUACAAAGCACUGAUGUUCAUUUUGAUGAAUGAACACUCUACAAAGAUCAUGUUCAAGAAGAAGGAAGCUCAAAUCAAAAUAUGAACUAGACUCCGGAAGAAUGGAGUUGGGAUGGUGUUGAAGACGAUGAUGAAGAUGACGAUGAUUUAACAAUCAUCUAUCCCUCAUCUCCUUUAGCAGACGAUUCUCCAACAACAGUCUCUGGAUCUUUUCUUCUUGAAGAACAAGGCAAUGCUGCUCAUUGUGCAUGAACUGGAGAAGUCGACAGGCUCACACGUGAUCUACCAUUCAAUGUGGAGAACUAUGGGUGGACAUCAUCUGGACGAUCAAGCAGAGUACCUCAUCCCAAGCAAUAGUCUUUUGCAGCAAUAGAAAUAGCUUCUAAACCAGUCAACUUUGAGCAAGCCAUUCAAGCUCCUGAUGCAAAUAAGUGGAUUUCAGCAAUGCAAGAUGAGUUGAAUUCUCUUGAUGAGAACCAGACUUAUGACUUGGUGGAAGCUCCUGAAGGAUGUGAAGUUGUUGGAUCAUGCUGGGUGUUCAAGCUUCAUAGAAAUCCUGAUGGAUCGGUACAGCGUUAUAAAGCAAGACUUGUUGCUCAAGGAUAUUCACAAGUUCCUGGAGUGGAUUUUGAUGAGACGUUCUCACCAAUUGUGAAGUAGACAAGUAUUAGAAUGCUUCUGGCUUUUUCAGCGGAGUUUGAUUUGUGUGCACAUCACAUGGACGUAAAAACAGCCUUCCUUAAUGGGAACUUGAAGGAAGAGAUAUUUAUGCGGCAACCCCCAGGCUUUGAGCUUUUUGGAUCACGGUGCUCCGAACUAGUCUGCAAGCUUCGCAAGGCUCUUUAUGGCCUUAAGCAGGCUUCCCAUCAGUGGUAUGAAUGUUUGGAUUCUUUUCUUAUGGAUCUCGGUAUGUAGAGGUUGAACAGCAAUGGAAAUCUAUAUCUUCUUCAGCAGGGUGAUCACUUUGUUGUGAUAGCAGUUUAUGUGGACGACUGUUUGAUUGUCAGCAACAAUGACACUGUUUUGAAGGAUGUGAAGAUCAAGCUUAUGGACAAGUUUGUGAUGAAGGACUUAGGAGUUGUGCGGCAGCUAUUAGGGAUGGAAGUUGACAGGGAUGAAGCAGAUAGGACAAUCACCCUCACAUAGUGCCAAUAUGUGAAGAAGCUUCUCAACCAGUUCAACAUGACAAGUUGCAAAUCCGUGGCUACACCAGUCAUCACUAGCAUUAAGUUCACAAGCAAGAUGGAUGAUUUAUUUGACUAGCACUCAGUCUACCGAUCGCUUGUUGGAGGACUACUCUACCUCACCAACAUGACUCGCCCCAACAUCUCCUUUGCCGUUGGUCUCCUCAGCCGAUACAUGCAAUCUCCGAGUUGUUAUCAUUGGCAAAUGGCAAAGAGAGUUUUGAGGUAUUUGAAAGGAACGGUUGCGCAUGGACUGGUUUACAAAUGCUCAGGUCAGUCCAAACUUGUUCUUCAAGUUUACUGCGAUGCAGAUUGGGCUGGCAACUUGGAUACACAAUAUUCAACCUCCGGAAUUUGCUACAUAAUUGCUAGUGCUCCGGUUUCAUGGGGAAGCAAGAAGCAAACGACGGUUGCUCUUUUCAGUGCAGAAGCAGAGUACAUAGCUGCCAGUACAGCAGCAAGGGAGAUCAUCUGGCUUUGUCGAUGACUUGGAGAACUCAAUCAACAGCUAUCAAAUGCGACCAUUCUGCAUUGCGACAACAAAAGUGCAAUCGCCAUGUCAAAGAAUCCUGUGUUUCAUGCUUGUACGAAACAUAUAGACGGGCAGCAUCACUUCAUUCGUGAACAUGUAGCAGCUGGAGAUCUUCACCUGGAAUACGUUCCUUCAUAGUAUCAGUUGGCAGACCUUCUAACCAAGCCACUUUCGGAGCUCACAUUCAUCAAGCUGAGGAAUCAACUUGGAGUAUCAAGCACCCUCAGCUUGAAGGGGGAGUGUAGGAAUAAUGAUAAACACGACAAGCAAGACGAUUCAUAUCAGAAGUAGUCCAAAUUGUGAUCAGAUCUCUGGUGAUUUCCAAUUUGAUUGAAGUUGUAUAUAUAUACAGCCAUAUAUGAAUCAAUGCGUGGGUUGAAGUGAAAUCCAUUGUUCUUGCUCCACUUUUCUUUCAGAGCAGUCAUCAUCACUGAAGCAGUAGUGGACACUCUCCUCUCGAGGUGCUGUUUGGACUGAGAAAAUGAGGAAGAUCGCCAUCAAGAUCUUCAUCUUUGCCAUUCCUGGUGGAAACCUUAAGCGGGAGCACGAAACUCUCGAAGUUCACACUGCCUGGUCCUUAGAAACUCUCGAAUCGAAAUGAAAGAAGAAACACUCUUUACUUUUAUGGUGUAUCCACCACAUCCAAGCACCGAGAACCUUUCACGUGUCCCAGCGAUUCACUACUCUUCCAGCAGUGUAAUCGUCUUCCAGCUCAAGCAGACACAUGACAGGUGCUGCAAGAAGACAAAAGAAAACGAUGUGUCACACUAUAAUCUUCUAUGCUAGCUCCACGUUGUUCCUGAGUGCCUCCGAUAAGUUUGCGAUGGAUAGAGCACCGUAGCUCUGCUGCUGCUAAUCCAUUCCCUGCAUAUUUGGAGGCAGGUUCGAAAACAGAAGAUAAGCUGAAGCUUGAGAUUGCUAACAAUUGAUAUUUGUAACUAAAUUUAAGACACAAUAGUUUUAUAUUAGAAAAUUAUAAAUUCUUAUUUAAGUAAUUUAUAAUAGUUAUAAACAAAAAAAAUUGUAGUUUUGACCAGAAAAUAUGUAAUUGUUAUGUUUAGUUCUUAUUUAUGACUAAAUUUUAAGUCCAAAAAGAAAAGUUAUAAACAUAGUGGUAAAGAUGGGAAUUUAAGUCAUUAUUUAUGAUGAUAUUUAAAAAUAAACAGUUUUCUAUUCUAAUUUAUUACCAAUAUGUCUUAAUGCUUGUCUUUGAUUUUGGAGUUACAUUUUUUUCUAUUUUAGAAGCUUAAAGGUGCUCUUGAUAAAUACUAUCUAGGUCGUGGUGAAUGAAUGCAAGUAUUUUUUUUUUAUGUCAAUUUUAUUACUUUAUAUUAUUUGUUGUUUCAUAUUUGCUAGCUUUCCUUAUAAGAGAAUGCAUACAAUCACCCACAGCAAUGGAAUUUACAAGGAACUCAUCAAUCUUCAGCAUUUCCUUUAUAAAACGUUCAUGGUAAUGGAUUUAAAUGAAAGUUUUCCUUUGGUUUCUCUCAUUUGUCAUUACUCUGUGUUAUCAAAAAUGGAUAUAACCACCUUUUUUAUUUUCCUAAGCCAAGCCCAACUUUUUAUAAUACUCUUAAUGCUUCUCGCAACUCCAAAUUUUCCUCCAAGAAUAAUUUAUAAGAUAAGUAAAACCCUAAAAUCACCAGGGAAAAACUAAAGGCAUAGGAUAUACUCUACAUUUAACUAAUGUUUCCUUAUCACCUUGAUUAAGUUUGGUCGAGCCUUCUCUCUCUCCUCUAAAGUCAGAAGUUUUGGCUAUGGCGCUGGAGUCUUCCAGGAUCACAGUGGCGAACAUUUGCUUGGUUUCUCCAAGUUACAGCCCGGAGAAUGUCAAUCUGUUGGAGAGGAAGAAGCAAAUGCGUCUCGGUGCUGCUUCUCAUAUGAUUUGGUUCGUGCCUUACAGGACUCGCCUUCUCUUCUUCCGAAAGCCUCCUCCCCAUCUCUCCUUCGAGGCCAUUGUAGCAAAUCUCAAGAGUUCUCUUGCCAAGGCGCUGGUGGAGUUUUAUCCCCUGGCAGGGAGAUUGCUUGUGAGUGACAGCGAGAAUGGACUGCGGAUGGAUGUGGUUUGCAAUGACAAAGGCGUGCUCUUCAUUGAAGCCAGUGCUACUGGAGUUACUGUUGAGGAGCUCGCAAAGGAUGAAGUGAGUGGUCAUUUUGAGGGGAUUCCAGCAAAACUAGUGGAAGAUCUGGCACAAUGUGGAGACUACGAUAUAUUAACAAUUCCAUGGUCCUUCGAUGCUCCUCUGUUCAUCAUCCAGGUACUUCAAUAUAUAUUCGCAUUGAUAAUCAAGUCGAAUCGAAUGUAGGUGACAGAGCUUUCUUGUGGAGGCAUUUGCAUCUCCGUCAAGUUCAAUCACCAGCUUUUAGAUGGAGCUGGGACCUGGAACUUUGUCAAGUCAUGGGCCGAGGUCUGUUGUGGUAAAUCUAUGUCACUCAAGCCCGUGGUCGUGGAAACUCCACCAUGCAUUGCGGUCUCGGACGAUCAUCCCACAGAUUUUGAGCUUCCAGCAGGGUUUGAAAGGAUCUGCAACGCGGAUUUACUGAAAUUAAGCACCAAGUCAACAUCGCAGUCCGCGGAGUAUGACAUGAAGUGCUUUGCAUUCAAGAAGGAGAAGAUCCAAAAGAUGAAGCUCGAGAAUCCAGGGUUUAGCUCGUUCCAGCUUCUCACGAGUUUCAUAUGGUCCAGAGUUAACGCUGCGAGAGAUCUCAAGGAUGACGAAACCACUACUGUUGUAUUCGCGGCGAACUGUAGAGGACGGAUCAAGACUGUGCCGAAGGGAUUCGUAGGAAUGGCCGCGGUGUAUGAUCACGUUUCCACCAAAGUCUCGAGCCUACGAGCUCAGGGAAAUGAGCUGAGAAACGGGGCGGAUCUUCUCAAGAAAAAGAUUGGUGAUUUGCUCACGGAGGAAGGCGUGGGUCUCUACUCAAAGGUUGUGAGCAGUGGCGACAGGGGCUUCACAGCGCUUCCUCAAUCUAAGACGGAAACAGCAUUGAUCCUUGGAAGUUCGUUCUACUUCCCGGUUUUCGAGGACUUUGGAUUUGGAAAGCCGGUUGGAAUGACGCUGGUUCAUCCUUCUGAGGAUGGCAGGCUAUACUAUUUCCCAGGGAAGGAGGAAGGUGAUGUGGUAGCAUAUAUUGGGCUCACAAGUCACGCGAUGAGAAAGCUUAGUUUUCCACAGGUUUGAAACAAUAUAAAGUUCUCUUUGCCCCUCACCGCGGGACGGCAUGGAAAUCAAGGCGAGGAUCUUCGAGACAGAUGUUUCUGAUGGUACCGUUAUUGUUGACAUGCACGGGAAGCUCCAGAUAAUGGAUCUGGCCACCGCGGCUUUUGGCUGGAUCAAAGAGAGGAAUGCUGUCUCCUUGACUGCUAUGUUCCCAGAAUUUGCCCGGAAUGGUUAUUACAGAGACGCUCUCGAGUUCCUCCAUGGAUUUGGAGGGAGGCAAGCCAAAUGGCGUGACAUUUAUUGUCUUUCUGGAAGCCUGCGCCGGUCUCGGGGAUAGAAUCUGCCGUAAAAUUCUUCACUCCCGAAACCGAGGGAAUGAAGCUUGAUUUCUUCGUCAGAAAUGGUGGUCUCGGCUUAUGCGCUGGAUGCUUAUGCGGGCGACAGCACAGGGAGUCUUUUGGGAGCUCGACCUCGAAAAACACGAGCGCCUUCGAGACGUCCUCAAGUUUGACCAUGGCUAGAAGCCUCCACUCUCGGAUCCUUGCCAGUGGAACGCGUGAGCGUGAUCGUGGUCGUGACCACUUACAGAAACUCUCAGCCUCGCGAGAUCCACGUUCAAUGGCCUGUGCUGGAACACGAUGAUCUCCGCCUACGUGCAGCACGGCAACGCCAGGAAGGGCUCAAGCUCUUCAACGAGCUCAAGCAAGCCGGGGAGCGGCCAAACAGCAUCACUUUGAGCGGCUGCAUGAUCGAUCUGCUGGGAGGAGCUGAGGGAUUGGAGGAGGCUGAGAGAGAGGCUGCUCCAUGAAACGCAAUGUCCUCUCCUGAUCAUGAACGUCGUCUCUGUGAACUUCAAUCACCAAGUCCUGGAUAAAACCAGGGCAUGGCAUUUCGUAGUUCGAUAUAAGCUGCGGCAAAUCCCCGUCACUUGAGCAGGUGGUUGUGGAAACUCCCCUGGACAACGAGCAGAGCUGGAGAUUUAGCUCCCGCCGAUUUUUCAUGCGGUGGAAGAUUAGACUUUGUUCACAACUUCUCACUAUCAACGCCAUGAAAGGCUUCUCGUUUGCAAAGCAGGCGAUUGGGUUGCCAAGGAGUGAGAUUCCAGAGCUCCUCACGGCAAAGAGAUGGAAGACCCCGUGUUCUUCGCGGUCAACUGCUGUGAAAGCUGGAAACUAUGACUCUUAGUACGCUUUCUCAUGACAUGAAGAGUUGCCACCUCAUAGAUCCACGUUGGCUAAAGUUGACGAAGAACUAGAAGGCAACGAUAUAUCAGAGCCACAUUGUCCACACGACGCUUCCGCUAUGUUUUGACACUUUCGAGACUGUCAUGUUCAGGACGGCCUCCAAGCUACCUCUGCGUGACGACAAAAAAUUACCCCACCUGGAGAAGCUGCUGCAAGAUGGUGAACCGAUGAAGACUCGUGUCUCUCCACGUGGACUAGCCACGUGGCACAGGGCCACUCUCAACAAACUCGUCCACGCUUCGGCAGCCUCGCAGCAUAUCAAUACUACGUCGCUGCGGGGGCAGCGAUCGAUUGUCAUAGUCCGAGUCCGACCCCAAGCGCGUCUGGAGCACUACCAUCGUCAUCGGUAAGUUCCACAAGCUCUUUCUCGUUCAGUUCCUGCUCGUACCGCUGCUCCUCAUCUCGGCUCCCGGAAUUGUCCUGAGCACCACCACCACCGCUGGAAAGCACAUCGGUGUCAAUCGGCUGUGCUUCGUCCUCUCCAGCAGCAGCCACCUCGGAGAAUCUAGACAAGGGCGGCGCCGCAUCAGAUUUCCUGCCGUCGUCAAGGUCCCAAACAAUGGGAGAGUACUUCCCCAUCGUCGCCCUCUACGUCCCUGUAAUCCGUGGCAAUGUAGGCCCUGAGUCCAUUAGCUCGCUCGGGCUCGGUCCACUCACGAGCCCUAAACCACAGAGAAGUAAAAUAUUUACCCUUUGUUGGUCUAAUCAUUAUUGCAUUUUAUGUUUCUCGAUUCUUUAUGAGGAAAGAUCGAUUUGAAGGUACUUAAAACGUUUUCUUCCAUCGCUAAACCCUAGAAACCUCAAGCAAUAUAAAAAAAAGCCCUUUAAUGGAUAUGGUCUAAAGAAUUCCAGAAAGAUCUUUUCGUUUCUUAGUACCACACUUGAUGAUUUCACGUGAAACGAAUAUACUCGCUUUUCUUUGCUUCUUUGUUUUGCGUAUCCCCGUUCUUCGUCGCGGAUGUUCUAUACCGAAAAAAAAGCAAGAAAACCACAAGAGAAUCAACUCAAUAACAUUGACGUGUUACAAGCCAGCACUUCCAAGAAAUGUACCUCCCACGUCGCUGCCAUGAAAGCCAGUCCCCCGUCCCACAGAAGAACUCUAAACAAAUCCCUCCACCAAAAAGCUGUCUAGCCCGCUGUGGAUGAGCUCGAAACCAUCCAAACAAAGCGACCGUGCCUGAAUCCGGUGCCGCUGCACGUUUUCGCGCACGGUGCUGGGGCUCCAUCCUCAUCCGGCUGCAUGAUCAAGUUUGUCUCUCCGAAUCUUGGUUUAAUCCUCUUUUCUUUUCUUUUUUUAUUUCUUCCGGCAAGAUGGAAGAGCCUGUUGGCAACGGCGACCCAACGCCGUGGAUGUGAUAUCCCUGUGGGUCUUCUUUCUUGGAAGAUCUUGUGAGCUUUCUAGUUACAUGUAAUUAUAUAGGAAGCGCAUUUUUUGGAACUAAAAUCCAUUCAAGAUCGAGAAUUUGAGAGCAUGUAACUAAAUCGUUGUUAUUGUAAAAUUCUAGACUCGGAGACGCUCCGAGUGAGAGAACGAGCUGCUGCUUGGCAUUCUUCUCCUCGCAAGCUACCUGGCCUGUGCUCAAGCAUCGGACGACAUACGAAACUCGUAGCUUGUCUAACGCUACAAAAACAAUUACCUUUAAAGCAAAAUUUUAAAAAAAAACAUUUGGCAUGAUUGAUGCCACUUUGUACGACGUGCACCGUAGGGUUGCGUUGCUAUCAGAGUUGGCAUCUGAUUUCAUGUUUAAAGUCAAGCAGCAUGCCAAGCCACUGACUCAUCUUUGCUAACCACUUCCAAAUUGUCAUUUGGAUGUUGAUUCAUCAACGACAUUUGUUGUAAUUUCUGAGGGUAUUCCAUUGGAAGUUAUGGGGGAGCCAAAGCAGGCCCGGAUAGAUGACUACAAGGAUUUGAGAAGCAUUUUCUCUGAGAUGUGGAGCCAUGGGGUGUCGAGUGUGAGGGAGCUGAAGGAACAGAGAUACAGAGCAGCAAAAUUCAAUUUAAGAGACUUCAAAGGGUUGCGCGAGCUGCUGCUGCAGGAGGACAACAGUCUAGAGCACGUAAUCAUGAGGGAGAAGGGCUACCACAAAGUGGGGGGGUUUCUAGAAGCAGCUGUGUCCAAGCUGAGCAGCCUUGCCAUUUAUGGAGACAAAUUUCGCGAGGGGGUGUUUCGCAGCUUGGAUGAAGCUAUUGCUGCUGUCAAGCACAAGGGGAUGCCAAUCAAGCUCAAGACGCUUCUUCUAUGUUACUGUGACGUAGAUUUAGAUGCUUUAGCAGGAUCAACACUUCCAAAGUAUUUAGAACGUCUGGAGCUUUAUAAUUGCCAUUGCUCGCCCAACCUGGAGAAGCUGCUGCAAGAUCCAGCCUGCAAGAUCUGGGAGCUGUCCCUGGAUAAGAAUGAAUACUUGACCCCUGCCCUCUUCCAGCCUCGAACAAGUCUACAGAAGCUUACGCUGGUCGACAUCCCAAAUGAUCAGGCGCUACUCAGCCAAAUCUGUGGAUCAAUAGAGGGCCUUGGAAUUUCAAAUGAGCCCAACCCUGCGCAGAUCUCCCUGCUGGAAGAUUGCAUAAACAACAAUGCCAAGUCCAAGCUCUGGUUCCUGGAGUUCACAUCAUUCCAUUUCUCUUUAUCUAUCGUGCAGCUCGUGGGCCAGCUGCUGAAGAGCCCAUAUUGCAAGCUUGAAAGUCUCUCCUUGUUACCUGGGGUGAGUUGUUGUUUCAACAUUGAUAUUGACACCGAUUUUCUUAAGCAGAAGGAAAGCCUCUCCUCACCUAGUCAUCAAGAUGCGAUUCUCAGCAAUUUGGAGGCCAACUACAGCAGCCGGAUCCAGAGACUGCGCAUUGGCGGGGAAUGGGCUUCCAUACUGUUGGAGGACAGAUGGUUGAAGGUGAAGUACCGGAAUGCUCUAUUUCAGAAGAGCCCCGUUCUUGCACAAAGCGCUCUAGAAAACCCUCCAGUCACACCAUCAACUGCCAAGCUGUUCAUGUGCGGCCACACUGCCUCGGGCAAGACCACCAUCUCCACCAAUCUGGUCCGCCCCUAUGCAGCCCUCUGGCAGUGUGUGAAGCCGCCAUGUCAGGAUCAUGCAUCAACAGUGGGAAUUGAGAGGAGGACUCUCAGAUUUGGAGAGAGGAAGAAACUCCUGAUUUACGAUCUGGGAGGCCAGGAGGUCUACCACGCUUUUCAUCACUAUUUCCUCAGGGGCAGCGACAAAGAUCUCUUCAUGGUGGUGUGCAAGGUUGGAGGUCGUGGAGGUAAGAUGAAAACAGAGCUCCAAUACUGGCUUCGCUUCAUAGCGGCCCACCAAACUGCAGCACCAGCUAGGAAACCCACCAUUUUCUUAGUACUCAACAUCUUUGUUCGUCAUGACCGUUUCUUGGUAGAAGCUCGAGCAGCUGCGACGUCACUGUUACUCAAGUAUAAGGACAGGCUAGACUUUGUUCAGGGCCAACGUGGUGAUCACUAUUUCGAGUUAAAUGGGUUGAAUGCUCGUCAGGUACAGGAGGAACUGAAGCCCAGGCUGGCGAUAGCAGUGGGCGAAAUGAUAAAUGAGGUUCCCGUGAUUCCCUGGACUUGUGAUGAGGUUAUCAGAGGGCGGGCUUCAUCCUCACCAUGGUAUCAUAUCCACACACGGGCACAAACAAUUGUCCAGCAGAGGGUGGUCGACCUACAUGAGAUGUCGAAGGCUUGGUUCCAGGGGGAGAAAGAAGAUGAGGCACUUGCUGCACAAUACACAUUCAUCUGCCUACAUGACAUGGGAGAAGCUGUCUACUUUGGGGCAGAUGACACAUAUCAAAACACGGAUCCAAACGACAAGGAAGCUGCAUUGAUUGUCAACAAUGCUGUUCUAGACAUGCCAUGGUUUCUCCAUACAGUGUUAGGAAUUUUCAUUCCUAAGCAAGACAGAAACGAUACGAUGAAGUGGGGGGAACCCAAGUGGUCUACUGAGGAAGCAGUAGAAGCUCUCAGAACACAUGGAGAGACUUCAGAGGGCAACAUCUAUUUCUUGCUCAAGCUGCUCUGUGAGAUGGGGGUUUUGAUUCCUGAUGGCAUGAGGAGCUGGGACAUAAGGUGGUCAGAGCCACGAAAUCGGCCAGAACACCUCAUUGUGCCUGCAUUAUUGCGUGAUGAGUUCACUGGGUGGAUUGAAAGGGAGCAAACAUAUGAUUGUUGGGGUCGGAGAUUGCAAGCAGACGACACUAUCAAGGGCUUCGUUCUUCUCCCAUCAGGUAAUUAUGCUCUUGACUGCUGGGAUUGAGAUUAAACAUUGAUGUCUGUAUGUUUGUUGGUUGCAAGCAGGAGUUUUUGCAGUUAUUCAAGCCAAGGUGAAGGAGAUGUGUGACAGAUGGGGCCAUGGAAGUAAGCUUGGUGCUGGUUGGGUUUCCUUCCAAGAGGAUCUCAUUCAAGUUCUGGUGACUAUUGGUGGGGAUUAUAAGCAUUGGACAGAUCGGCAAUGGGUGGAUAUUAUGUUGAUGGUGCCCAAGGAGGAAAAGAGGGGACUCAAAGGGGAGCAGUUCAUGAAUGAGAUACGGAUUGUGUAGUCAAGGAAACUAACAGGGCCUGUCCUUUCAUCAAGCUUGAAGAGCAUGUUCUGAAUCCAGGGAAGGUAAGACAAUUUGGAAAAGCAUCAGGACAACAGAGGUCAUGCGAUGAAAACAACAAGAGCUCUUGGGCAUUGCAAGAGGUUAAACAGAUGGUAGCUAGGGAGGGCUUUGAUUAUCACUUUACCUGGGGUUUUGGUGACUCCACAAGUGCCUUGGAACUCUUAAUGCCAAGUGAAGUCAACGAGAUCAUUCAGCCACAUAAGCGUUCUGUUGAAGAGGUUGUCACAGAAUACAACCAGCACAUAGUGCCAGUGUAUCAAAGCCAGCAGCAACAGCUUGUGCAGGUCGAGAUCCCAAAGUUUGAAAGUGAUGACAUGAGUAACCUUGCCAACUUUUGCUAUCAAUUACACAAGCAUCAAAUGCAGGGGAUGCAGAUAUAUAUGGAGGACUUUAAGGUCUCCAUAACAGAUAUCAAAAAAUCUUUACAGAAGCUUCAAAAGGGCCUGAAGGACACAGAAAACGUAUUGAUCAAGAGCUGCUCAUCACUGUUGGAAUCCAUUAAGCUGGAGUGUCCAAAACUCCCACACCUUACAAUGGAGUCAAAUCUGUCGCUAAAAUAUUCAACUGAUUGGGAAACGAGCAAAUAUUAGCUACUUAUGUGAGCAUCCAAGCGGCUGUCACCCAGUUGAUUUGAAGAAGUACCCAGGAGUACCAAUCACUAUCCCAAAUCAAUGGUUCAAAAAGUAUAGCAACAUCUUCGUCCCAGCCAUCACAAUGUGUUUCACCCUUGCAAAGCUUGGUAAAGUGGCAUUGCCUGAGGGAGGGGAGCUGGUCAGCACCUUGAUUGAGCUUAGUGCAAAUGGCUUGAAGGCUACAAUCGACUCUUGCUUUGAAGGUGAUCUCAAUAACAGGUUGCAACCUGCAUCAGAAGAUGACAUUGUGGAGUUGUUUGAGUAUGUGAAAAAGAAUUCACCUGAACGAUAUGGUGAGGACCGAAUCUUGAUGAUGAAGAAGUGCUUUGGACUCAUCAAAAGUCCAAGUGGCUGGGUUUGUGAAGAUCACUAUUAUUGAAGAAGAAGGGCACAGGCUUAGUAAAACUACUAAAAUGAAGAAGCGGUGAAGUGAAGGAAUUGAAAAAAAAUAAAAGAAAGCAGCGGUUAUCCACUUAAUAUAUUGUAUGUCGAAAGCUCAUCUGCUGUCCAGGGAACUUAGAGAUCAAACCUUAAGACCUCUCUCCACACCAUCGGACACUCCAAAGUUUCCACAAAGCAACGGUGCAACGCAGGAGUCCUACGAUUCAGCCCCUGGGCACGCAUGAGCGCACCAUGUAAGUAAAAAAUUCUCAUUGAAAAUUCUAGACUAGGGAAAGAGCUUUCUCAGUGUGCUGCUGUUUGGCCAUUCUUCUCCUCCAGCCUCCUGGCCUGUGCUCCAGGAUCAGACGAGGAUCCUUAUGCGUACGGAGCUCCUCUUUGUCCAGAGGGGUGAUCCAGGCCGGGAACAUGUUCGUGUUGGGUCAUGUUUCCUCGUGUCGUCCACUUCCAGCUCAACGUUGGGAAGGAGGAAGCUGUGGGGAUCGCCACGUUUAACAGCCAGAAUCCGGGGACUUCGAGGUUGCAAAGGCGGUCUUUGCUUCCAGGGCGGACGUGAGCGACGAUGUAAUUACCAAGGCGUUCCAAGUCUCGGAUCCCGAGCUUGUGAGCGAGCCCAGGAAACUCAUCAAGUAGACUUAAAGGAACUUUCCUUCUUAGGAGUGAUCUUAGAUAUGAUUGUCUGGAAACAAAAACAUUCACAAACAGAAGUACCUGUGUUAAAACGCUCUCACCUAAGCAGCAAAGCUUGCUUCAGGAUUGGAAGCUGGGCCGUGUUGCAAACAACGAAUAAAAUAUGCAGAAUCUUUCAAGGCUACCUUUGCUUUAGCACAGACGUAGAAGCCACGGCCAAGAUUGGGACCAGCCUUCGUAACUGUUCUCACGACACAAGGCUCACCGUGUCCCUUGCACAAUGGAAGAUUUCGCUCUGCCCAUGCACUGCGACCUCUGUGCAGCUCAUCUUGUCAGAAGAUUCAUGCCUUUGAUAGCAAAACCCUGUCAAUCUGCUUUGUGACAGCCUCUGUAAUUUCCUGCAGCCCGUUUCCUGUGUAAAAGCGGGCUUGGAAACAUUUUGGCUUGUAUCAGGCUCGGUGUUAGCUGUUGUUCUCUCGUUGAGCUUUCUGAAAAUGGAAACUACACCAGUCAGCACGAGGGGUUGUCAGAAACGUCCUUCGCUAUAAGAAGUUACUCACUGAUACUUUGCUGACGACCGCAAAGCUCAGGCAUAAAUAGAGCAGCCAGUUGUGGAGCUUCAUGUGGUGGAAUGGAAGGUAAUGCUUAAGCUGCAGAAUAGCAGGAGCGUGAUCUGAACCAUCCAGUUUCAAGCUUCUUCCACCACUCCAUCUGCCAUGGAGAAACAUCAACACUGGCAACAACUAGUCUGUCUUUUUGCGUACCUCGGAAGGGUGUCCAGCUUUGCACGCUUAAACUCGAGAAGAAUGUCACAACCACCACUUCCUUGACAUCCACGAUCAAUGGAUGGUGAAACGAGAGAAGAACGUUGAUUUCCCGUAGAGAAGUCAUGGGGAAUCCUUCUCUCUCGUGGACCAUCUUCACUCUCUUGAGCGCCACAAUCUCUCCACUCUGCAGCAUAUCAAGACUACGUAGCUGCGGGGGGUCCGACCCCGAGCGCGUCUGGAGCACUACCAUCGUCGUUGCUAAGUUCCACAAGCUCUUUCUCGUUCAGUUCCUGCUCGUACCGCUGCUCCUCAUCUCGGCUCCCGGAAUUGUCCUGAGCACCACCACCACCACCGCUGCAAAGCACAUCGGUGUCAAUCGGCUGUGUUUCAUCCUCUCCAGCAGCAGCCGCCUCGGAGAAGCUAGACAAGGGCGACGCCGCAUCAGAUUUCCUGCCGUCGUCAAGGUCCCAGACAAUGGGAGAGUACUUCCCCAUCGUCGCCCUCUACGUCCCUGGAAUCCGUGGCAAUGUAGGCCCUGAGUCCAUUAGCUCGCUCGGGCGGGAGCAUGAGAGCUAGCGCAUUUGGAGCUUACCGGCGAGCGCCAUUCGCUCCACUCCAGAGCCACGAGCCCUAAAACACAGAGAAAACAUUAUUUCUCGAUUCUUUGGGAAAGAAAGUUCUCGUCUAUCGACGACGAGGAUUUGAAGGUACUUAAAACGUUUUCUUCCAUCGGGUGAGCCAUCACUAAACCCUAGAAACCCUCUAAACCUCGAGCAAUAUAAAAAAAAGCCCUUUAAUGGAUAUGGUCUAAAGAAUUUCCAGAAAGAUCUUUUCGUUUCUCCUACGGCAUAGUACCACACUCGAUGAUUUCACGUGAAACGAAUAUACUCUCUUUGCUUUGUUUUGCGUAUCCCCGUUCUUCGUCGCGGAUGUUCUAAACCGAAAAAAAAGAAAGAAAACCACGAGAGAAUCAAGUCAAUAACAUUGACGUGUUCUCUUCCAGGAAAUGUACCUCCCAAGUCGCUGCCAUGAAAGCCAGUCCCCCGUACCGCAAAAAAACUCUAAGCAAAUCCCUCCACCAAAAAGCUGUCUAGCCCGCUGUGGAUGAGCUCGAAACCAUCCAAACAAAGCGACCGCGCCUGAAUCCGGUGCCGCCGCACGGCGCUGGGGUUCCAUCCUCAUCCGACUGCAUGAUCAGGUUUGUCUCUCCGGAUCUUGCUUUAAUCCUCUUUUCUUUUCUUUUCUUUUUUCUUUCUUCUGGCAAGAUGGAAGAACCUGUUGGCAACAGCGACCAACGCCGUGGAUGUGAUAACAUUCGACUAUCCCUGUGGGUCUUCUUUCUUAUUAUUUUUCUUCUUUCUUGGAAGAUCUUGUUAGUUUUCUAGUUAAAUGACAUACUCUGUUUCCCCUAAAUCAUUUUAUCCAUGUAAAUAUAUAGGAGGCGCAUUUUUGCGGACUAAAAUCCAUUCAAGAUCGAGAAUUUGAGAGCAUGUAAUUAAAUCGUUGUUAUUGUAAAAUUCUAGACUCGGAGACGCUCCGAGUGAGAGAACGAGCUGCUGCUUGGCAUUCUUACCUGGCCUGUGCUCAACCAUCGGACGACAUACGAAACUUGUACAGCUUGUCUAACGCGUGUGCUUUGCUAAUUGCCUACAAAAACAAUUACCUUUACAAAGCAAAAGCAAAAGAAAAAGAAAAAGAUUUGGCAUGAUUGAUGCCACUUUGUACAACGUGCACCGUAGGUCAGAGUUGGCAUCUGAUUUCAUGUUUAAAGCCAAGCAACAUGCCAAGCCUCUGACUCAUCUUUGCUAGCCACUUCCAAGUUGUCAUUUGGAUGUUGAUUCAUCAACGACAUUUGUUGUAAUUUCUGAGGGUAUUCCAUUGGAAGUUAUGGGGGAGCCAAAGCAGGCCCGGAUAGAUGAUUACGAGGAUUUGCCAAGCAUUCGCUUGGAGAUGUGCAACCAUGAGGUGUUGACUGUGGAGCUGAAGGAACAGAGAUAUAGAGCAGCAAAAUUCGCUUCAGAAAACAUCAAAGGCUUGCGCGAGCUGCUGCUGCAGGUGGACAACACUCUGGAGCACGUAAUCCUGUGUAGCAAUGGCUACCACAAAGUGGAGGGGUUUCUAGAAGCAGCUGUGUCCAAGCUAAGCAGCCUUGGCCUUUUCUGGAGAAAAAUUUGGCGCGUGGCUGAGUCGCAGAUUGGAUCAUGAAGUGAUUCUCAGCUUGGAUGAUGCUAUUGCUGCUGCCAAGCACAAGCGGAUGCCAAUCAAGCUCAAGACGCUUUUUCUAUAUCACUGUGACGUAGAUUUAAAUGCUUUAGCAGGAUCAAUCAACACUUCGAAAGUAUUUAGAACGUCUGGAGCUUUAUAAUUGCCCUUGCUCGCCCAACCUGGAGAAGCUGCUGCAAGAUCCAGCCUGCAAGAUCUGGGAGCUGUCCCUCACUAAGAAUGAAUACUUGACCCCUGCCCUCUUCCAGCCUCGAACAAGUCUACGGAAGCUAACGCUGGACAACAUCCCAAAUGAUCAGGCGCUACUCAGCCAAAUCUGCGGAUCAAUAGAAGGCCUUGGAGUUUAGCCAUGAGGAGAUCUCCCUGCUGGCAGAUUGCAUAAACAACAAUGCCAAGUCCAAGCUCUGGUUCCUGACAUUUGGAUUUAUCUUUCGCGCAGCUCGUGGGCCAGCUGCUGAAGAGCCCAUAUUGCAAGCUUGAAAGUUUCUCCUUGUUACCUGGGGUAAAGGUGAGUGGUUUUUUCAACAUGCUCGUCUUGAUAUUGACACUGAUUUUCUUAAGCAGAAUGAAAGCCUCUCCCCGCGUGAGUACCAGGAGUAUCAAGAUGCGAUUCUCAGCAGUUUGAACAACAGAGACCUCAUGAUUACUUGGUAGUUCGUUCUACUUCGAGGACUUUGGAUUUGGAAAGCCGGUUGGAAUGACGCUGGUUCGUCCUUCUGAGGAUAGCAGGCUAUACUAUUUCCCAGGGAAGGAGGAAGGUGAUGUGGUAGCAUAUGUUGGGCUCACAAGUCACGCGAUGAGAAAGCUUAGUUUUCCACAGGUUUGAAACAAUAUAAAGUUGUCUCUUUGCCCUUCACCGCGGGACGUGGAAAUCAAGGCGAGGAUCUUCGAGACAGAUGUUUCUGAUGGUACCGUUAUUGUUGACAUGCACGGGAAGCUCCAGAUAAUGGAUCGGGCCACCGCGGCUUUUGGCUGGAUCAAAGAGAGGAAUGCUGUCUCCUUGACUGCUAUGUUCCCAGAAUUUGCCCGGAAUGGGCAUUACAGAGACGCUCUCGAGUUCCUCCAUGGAUUUGGAGGGAGUCAAGCCAAAUGGCGUGACAUUUAUUGUCUUUCUGGAAGCCUGCGCCGGUCUCGGGGAUAGAAUCUGCCGUAAAAUUCUUCACUCCCGAAACCGAGGGAAUGGAGCUUGAUUUCUUCGUCAGAAAUGGUGGUCUCGGCUUAUGCGCUGGAGGCUUAUGCGGGCGACAGCACAGGGAGUCUUUUGGGAGCUCGAUCUCGAAAAACACGAGCGCCUUCGAGACGUCCUCAAGUUUGGCCAUGGCUAGAAGCCUCCACUCUCGGAUCCUUGCCAGUGGAACGCGUGAGCGUGAUCGUGGUCGUGACCACUUACAGAAACUCUCAGCCUCGCGAGAUCCACGUUCAAUGGCCUGUGCUGAAACACGAUGAUCUCCGCCUACGUGCAGCACGGCAACGCCAGGAAGGGCUCAAGCUCUUCAACGAGCUCAAGCAAGCCGGGGAGCGGCCAAACAGCAUCACUUUGAGCGGCUGCAUGAUCGAUCUGCUGGGAGGAGCUGAGGGAUUGGAGGAGGCUGAGAGAGAGGCUGCUCCAUGAAACGCAAUGUCCUCUCCUGAUCAUGAACGUCGUCUCUGUGAACUUCAAUCACCAAGUCCUGGAUAAAACCAGGGCAUGGCAUUUCGUAGUUCGAUAUAAGCUGCGGCAAAUCCCCGUCACUUGAGCAGGUGGUUGUGGAAACUCCCCUGGACAACGAGCAGAGCUGGAGAUUUAGCUCCCGCCGAUUUUUCAUGCGGUGGAAGAUUAGACUUUGUUCACAACUUCUCACUAUCAACGCCAUGGAAGGCUUCUCGUUUGCAAAGCAGGUGAUUGGGUUGCCAAGGAGUGAGAUUCCAGAGCUCCUCACGGCAAAGAGAUGGAAGACCCCGUGUUCUUCGCGGUCAACUGCUGUGAAAGCUCUCCAACGCUGGAAACUAUGACUCUUAGUACGCUUUCUCAUGACAUGAGGAGUUGCCACCUCAUAGAACCACGUUGGCUAAAGUUGACGAAGGCAACGAUAUAUCAGAGCCACAUUGUCCA